Molecule: ribosomal RNA, 254 nt
Filed under: uncultured bacterium
Lineage: Bacteria
Description: partial 16S ribosomal RNA
Rfam family: Bacterial small subunit ribosomal RNA
Source: RNAcentral
UACGGGGGGAGCAAGCGUUGUUCGGAUUUACCGGGCGUAAAGGGCGCGUAGGCGGCCAGCACAAGUCAGUUGUGAAAUCUCCGAGCUUAACUCGGAACGGUCAACUGAUACUGUGCGGCUAGAGUGCGGAAGGGGCAACUGGAAUUCUUGGUGUAGCGGUGAAAUGCGUAGAUAUCAAGAGGAACACCUGCGGCGAAGGCGGGUUGCUGGGCCGACACUGACGCUGAGGCGCGAAAGCCAGGGGAGCGAACGGG